GUGCCAGCAGCCGCGGUAACACGUAGGGCGCAAGCGUUGUCCGGAUUCAUUGGGCGUAAAGAGCUCGUAGGCGGUUUGGUAAGUCGGGUGUGAAAACUCAGGGCUCAACUCUGAGAUGCCACCCGAUACUGCUAUGACUAGAGUCCGGUAGAGGAGUAUGGAAUUCCUGGUGUAGCGGUGAAAUGCGCAGAUAUCAGGAGGAACACCAAUUGCGAAGGCAGUACUCUGGGCCGGAACUGACGCUGAGGAGCGAAAGCGUGGGUAGCGAACAGGAUUAGAUACCCUCGUAGUCC
Molecule: ribosomal RNA, 293 nt
Filed under: uncultured bacterium
Lineage: Bacteria
Description: partial 16S ribosomal RNA
Rfam family: Bacterial small subunit ribosomal RNA
Source: RNAcentral